Molecule: long non-coding RNA, 126 nt
Organism: Haliotis rubra (blacklip abalone)
Lineage: Eukaryota; Metazoa; Mollusca; Gastropoda; Lepetellida; Haliotidae
Exons: 3
Source: RefSeq, a predicted model, not a curated record
CGCUCUUCCAAUCUGUCGGAUAUAGGCUAACCGAAUCAAAAUGAUUAGUUGAAACAUGUGAUCGAGAUCAGGCCAGGCUCGAACCAUAUAAAAAGAUAGGUUGGGCACUGAGCGAGUGGUGCGCGC